This 253-nucleotide ribosomal RNA is filed under the name uncultured bacterium. Its description in RNAcentral is "partial 16S ribosomal RNA". It matches the Rfam family "Bacterial small subunit ribosomal RNA", at positions 524 to 776 of the family's 1533-position model. The record is from RNAcentral.
UACGUAGGGUGCAAGCGUUGUCCGGAAUUAUUGGGCGUAAAGAGCUCGUAGGCGGCUUGUCGCGUCGGCUGUGAAAACCUGGGGCUCAACCCCGGGCCUGCAGCCGAUACGGGCAAGCUAGAAUUCGGUAGGGGAGACUGGAAUUCCUGGUGUAGCGGUGAAAUGCGCAGAUAUCAGGAGGAACACCUGCGGCGAAGGCGGCAUCCUGGACCAAUACUGACGCUGAGGAGCGAAAGCCAGGGGAGCAAACGGG